CGGGCGGCGAGCGCCGAGGCGGAGGGAGCGGCGGCGGGCGCGGCGGGCCACGAUGGAUUUCCAGCAGCUGGCCGACGUUGCGGAGAAAUGGUGCUCCAACACGCCCUUCGAGCUCAUCGCCACGGAGGAGACCGAGCGCAGGAUGGAUUUCUACGCCGACCCCGGCGUCUCCUUCUACGUGCUGUGUCCGGACAACGGCUGCGGCGACAAUUUUCACGUGUGGAGCGAGAGCGAGGACUGCCUGCCUUUCUUGCAGCUAGCGCAGGAUUACAUCUCCUCCUGUGGCAAGAAGACACUCCAUGAAGUCUUGGAAAAAGUCUUCAAGUCCUUCAGACCUUUACUGGGGCUUCCGGAUGCAGAUGAUGAUGCAUUUGAAGAGUACAGUGCAGAUGUGGAGGAGGAGGAACCAGAAGCGGACCACCCCCAAAUGGGGGUCAGUCAGCAGUAAACCUCCAAGGGCACCUUCUGGAGAAGGAGAGUGAGCCCGCUGUACCCUAGGUACUUUCUGAUACAAGCAUCAAGUCGCAGAGUACUCUGUACAAGCGUCAGCUUUGUAGAGGAGGAAGUAAACCUUCAAUGCCAGGCAAAUUGGAACCCACCUGCCUGUCAGUCCCAGUUGGUGUAUGAGAGCACAUUUAGCCAUCGACAGGAGAAGCAGAAGCAAGGAACAAUUGUUUUUGUUGGUUUUGGUUUUUUUGGGUUUUUUUUUAGGCAAGACGUGUUUCCUGUAGGGUGUGUGUACUUUCUUUGCCUUCACGUUUCCUUUGAAAGAAAUCUCUUGUAAAUUACAAAACUGUGAAAUGGGUUGCCAAAAACCGUUGCCCUUUGUUAGAUGCCUCGAACAGUGGAAAAAAAAUCUCUCCUGCACCCUGUCCGCAUCUGCUCCCUCCUCCCUUCCCUGGAGGGAGGAUCUCAUCCAACGAUGUAAUUACCAUACGCUUGCUAUUAAAGAGCCUUCCAAACCCUG
This is a non-coding RNA of Marmota flaviventris (yellow-bellied marmot), 967 nucleotides long. Lineage: Eukaryota; Metazoa; Chordata; Mammalia; Rodentia; Sciuridae. The record is from RefSeq and is a predicted model, not a curated record.